AGAGUUUGAUCAUGGCUCAGAACGUACGCUGGCGGCACGCCUAAUACAUGCAAGUCGAACGAAGUAGCAAUACUUAGUGGCAGACGGGUGAGUAACAUGUAGGUAUCUUCCCAUUGGUGAGGAAUAACACGAGGAAACUUGUGCUAAUACCUCAUAAGUCUUUACGGAGAAAGCUUUAUGCGCCGAUGGAUGAGCCUGCACUUGAUUAGUUUGUUGGUAGGGUAAUGGCCUACCAAGACAAUGAUCAAUAGCUGAUUUGAGAGGAUGAUCAGCCACAUUGGGACUGAGACACGGCCCAAACUCCUACGGGAGGCAGCAGUAGGGAAUCUUGCACAAUGGGGGAAACCCUGAUGCAGCGAUGCCGCGUGAGUGAAGAAGGCCUUUGGGUUGUAAAGCUCUUUCGUCGGGGAAGAAAAUGACUGUACCCGAAUAAGAAGGUCCGGCUAACUUCGUGCCAGCAGCCGCGGUAAUACGAAGGGACCUAGCGUAGUUCGGAAUUACUGGGCUUAAAGAGUUCGUAGGUGGUUAAAAAAGUUGGUGGUGAAAUCCCAGAGCUUAACUCUGGAACUGCCAUCAAAACUUUUUAGCUAGAGUAUGAUAGAGGAAAGCAGAAUUUCUAGUGUAGAGGUGAAAUUCGUAGAUAUUAGAAAGAAUACCAAUUGCGAAGGCAGCUUUCUGGAUCAUUACUGACACUGAGGAACGAAAGCAUGGGUAGCGAAGAGGAUUAGAUACCCUCGUAGUCCAUGCCGUAAACGAUGUGUGUUAGACGUUGGAAAUUUAUUUUCUGUGUCGCAGCGAAAGCAAUAAACACACCGCCUGGGGAGUACGACCGCAAGGUUAAAACUCAAAUGAAUUGACGGGGACCCGCACAAGUAGUGGAGCAUGUGGUUUAAUUCGAAGAUACGCGCAGAACCUUACCAACACUUGACAUGUUCGUCGCGACUUUAAGAGAUUAAAGUUUUCGGUUCGGCCGGACGAAACACAGGUGCUGCAUGGCUGUCGUCAGCUCGUGUCGUGAGAUGUUGGGUUAAGUCCCGCAACGAGCGCAACCCUCACUUUUAGUUGCCAUCAUUUAGUUGGGCACUCUGAAAGAACUGCCAGUGAUAAGCUGGAGGAAGGUGGGGAUGACGUCAAGUCCUCAUGGCCCUUACGUGUUGGGCUACACACGUGCUACAAUGGCAUUUACAAUAGGAAGCAAGACGGCGACGUUAAGCAAAUCCUAAAAAAAUGCCUCAGUUCGGAUUGUACUCUGCAACUCGAGUACAUGAAGCUGGAAUUACUAGUAAUCGCGGAUCAGCGCGCCGCGGUGAAUACGUUCCGCGGGUCUUGUACACACCGCCCGUAU
RNAcentral lists this ribosomal RNA (1345 nucleotides) under uncultured bacterium. RNAcentral describes it as "bacterial SSU rRNA". It matches the Rfam family "Bacterial small subunit ribosomal RNA". The record is from RNAcentral.